UUGGAGGGCAAGUCUGGUGCCAGCAGCCGCGGUAAUUCCAGCUCCAAUAGCGUAUAUUAAAGUUGUUGCAGUUAAAAAGCUCGUAGUUGAAUUUCGGGGUUAGUAAGUUGGCCAUGCCUUUGGUAUGCACUGGCUUUACUGAUUCCUCCUUCUUGACGAACCGUGAUGUCAUUAAUUUGGUGUUGCGGGAAAUCAGGACUGUUACUUUGAAAAAAUUAGAGUGUUUAAAGCAGGCUAACGCUUGAAUACAUUAGCAUGAAAUAAUGAAAUAGGACGUUAAUCCUAUUUUGUUGGUUUCUAGGAUCGACGUAAUGAUUAAUAGGGAUAGUUGGGGGCAUUAGUAUUCAAUUGUCAGAGGUGAAAUUCUUGGAUUUAUUGAAGACUAACUACUGCGAAAGCAUUUGCCAAGGAUGUUUUCAUUAAUCAAGAACGAAAGUUAGGGGAUCGAAGACGAUCAGAUACCGUCGUAGUCUUAACCAUAAACUAUGCCGACUAGGGAUCGGAUGAUGUUAAUUCUUUAAUGACUCAUUCGGCGCCUUACGGGAAAC
RNAcentral lists this ribosomal RNA (548 nucleotides) under uncultured Glomeromycotina. Its description in RNAcentral is "SSU rRNA". It matches the Rfam family "Eukaryotic small subunit ribosomal RNA", at positions 548 to 1098 of the family's 1831-position model. Lineage: Eukaryota; Fungi; Glomeromycota. The record is from RNAcentral.